GACGAACGCUGGCGGCGUGCUUAACACAUGCAAGUCGAACGGAAAGGCCCUGCUUGCAGGGUACUCGAGUGUCGAACGGGUGAGUAACACGUGGGUGAUCUGCCCUGCACUUCGGGAUAAGCCUGGGGAACUGGGUCUAAUACCGGAUAGGAGCCAUUUUUAUGGUGAGGGGUGGAUAGUUUUUUCGGGGUGGGGUGAGCUGGCGGCCUAUCAGCUUGUUGGUGGGGUAAGGGCCUACCAAGGCGGCGACGGGUAGCCGGCCUGAGAGGGUGGACAGCCACAUUGGGACUGAGAUACGGCCCAGACUCCUACGGGAGGAAGCAGUGGGGAAUAUUGCACAAUGGGCGCAAGCCUGAUGCAGCGACGCCGCGUGGGGGAUGACGGCCUUCGGGUUGUAAACUCCUUUCGCUAGGGACGAAGCUUUUUGUGACGGUACCUAGAUAAGAAGCACCGGCUAACUACGUG
RNAcentral lists this ribosomal RNA (465 nucleotides) under uncultured bacterium. RNAcentral describes it as "partial 16S ribosomal RNA". It matches the Rfam family "Bacterial small subunit ribosomal RNA", at positions 28 to 507 of the family's 1533-position model. The record is from RNAcentral.